CUUGAACGUGUCUGCUCCCCUGCAGGUUCCUUCUCUUUAAACCAGGAAGGAGAGGGGCUCCUUGGUGGCUCAAUGGAUUAAACAUCCAACUCUUGAUUUCAGCUCAGGUCAUGAUCUCAGGGUUGUGAGAUGGAGCCUCGCAUUGGGCUCUGCACUCAGCAGGGAGUCUGCUUGAGAUUCUCUCUCUCUCUCCCUCUGCCCCUACUUACCCCCCUCAAAAAAAUGUAUAAAACAGGGACACCUGGGUGGCUCAGCCAGUUAAGCAGGUACCUUCGGCUUAGGUCCUGAUCCUAAGGUCCUGGGAUCGAGCCCCCCAUCGGGCUCCUUGCUCAGCAGGGAGCCUGCUACUCCCCCUGCCUGUGCUCACUCUCUCUCUGUGAUUAAAAAACUCUCUCUGUGAUUAAAAAAAAUUUAAAUUAAAAGAAUAACAAAUUUUUAAAAAUGUAUAAAACAGGGAGGAGAAUUCCUACUUCAUGGAGUUGUUUCUGGGCUGCCAACUUGCAAGCCCGGGGAGUUACUAUUCAUGACUUGGGGACCCUGAAUUUUGCUGGGUGAACUAAGAGAGAUGGUGUAGGGAGAGCAGCUGACAAAGAGUCCACCCUCGAUGUGAGUGAGUCCAUUCCUCUCCCUUUUCCCUGUAGGAACUGCUUCCCUAUAUCCAGGACUUACCCUGUGCCCGUGUGGUACAGGUGUUAACCAUCCCAUCCAGAAGAGGAAACAGAGGCUCAGAGGGUUUAAGUCACUUCCCCCGGGUCACUGUGCGCCCUGGAACCCUGACCGGCUGACUCCAGAGCCCUGGCUCUUAACCUCGGUGCUGCACUGCACCACCGACGGCUGGUUUCCCACACGCUCGUCCCCAUGCUUGUGGAGGAGCUCGGCUACCAGAUGCCUCGGAAGCACCCGCCCCUGCCAGACGUGACCCAGAUCAGCUUUGGGAGAAGCCGCUGCCAGGAACUUGCCUGUCUUCUGCUUCUCUUCCUUCCUCAUUGAUGUCCCACCAAGAGAGCUCAGACGCUCCUUUGGCGGGCCAAUCCCACUGGCACAUUCUGCGAGACAUUCCUGGAAGUUCUGCCUACGUCUGGGAGGGAGAAGGCACAUGUUGCUUCUCUGCACUCGUGGGCAGACACAUGGGCUUCAGCAGAUGGCCACAGAAGCCUCUAGACAUUCCCUUACGACUGUGGGACCUACAGGCCAUCGUGGAGCUCCAGGCAACACGUCUGAUACUGGAAGGGGCUCUGGAAAACACGUACAUUACCUCAUUUGAUUUUCACAGCAACCUUAUGAAGAAGAGGCUGUCCAUAAUCCCACCUUACAGAUAAGUAAGUAGAGGUUAAAUAG
RNAcentral lists this long non-coding RNA (1338 nucleotides) under Ursus maritimus (polar bear). RNAcentral's name for it is "lncRNA (ENSUMAG00000001885.1)". Lineage: Eukaryota; Metazoa; Chordata; Mammalia; Carnivora; Ursidae. The record is from RNAcentral.